Dermacentor andersoni is the source of this 983-nucleotide long non-coding RNA. RefSeq lists it as uncharacterized. NCBI's taxonomy places the organism in Eukaryota, Metazoa, Arthropoda, Arachnida, Ixodida, Ixodidae. The record is from RefSeq and is a predicted model, not a curated record.
UACCACAAUGGCGGGAUCUGUGUUCGCCGCCUUCGUGUCUCGGUGCGUCUAUGUACGUCGCACGUUCGGAAAACACUUUUUCCGGAGUCUAUCUCACAAAUAAGCUGCCUCUCACAGUUUCAGAAGAAAAUGCUGGCCCAAGCAAACUGGCUUAUGCAGUGCAGUGCAGCAUUUUCCCCCACAAAGCUGCACCAACAUGAUCCACACGUGCAUUGCUGCAAACAUGGAAGUCUUCAACAGAGUUGCCGUCACACCAGUUGCACCCAACUAAGCAGCAAUGGUUAGCCCUAGCGGCCUGGGCACUACGGCUUACCAAAGGUGAGAAGUUAGUAAAUGAUGGUGCAAUGGCUGACAACGAGCUAUCAUGGAAGCUUGGCAUUAAUAUUGCCAUAGUGGUAAGACCUCAUCCAAUUGAUUUUGUAAUUGAUUCAAACAAUUUGUUUAAAUCAGUAACAAAUCAACGUAACUGCAAUUUGUAAUUACAAUUCGAAAAGUAUGAGUACAUUAUUUCAAACAACUGAUUUUGUAAGCUCUUCUCUAGCUGGCUUCUGAAACUUCAGGAGGCAGCUUAUGUGUGUCAUUCUAGCAUUGCUGCUGAAGAACAACACAUGCGUGUCGCACUGAACGUGGUGUGCAGAUGCUGUAGACAGCAGACAGAGACUGUCUGCCCAGUUUACCGAACAAAAUAGCAUGCAACUUAAUAAAUGCCUAUGUAAAGCACUUGCAGCAAACUUGUUUUAAAAUUCCAGUUGUGCAUUCAGGAACACAAACAUGUACUGUUCUAUCGGCAAAUGAUGUAGUAUUGCUAUGAGGCCACCACUAAUGUUUAUGCCGCGUACUGCCAAAGCACCACAACACUCAUAUUCUUUGACAUUAUUUGAAGAGAAGUAUGCAGAUACACGGCUAAUUUUUUAAAGCUCCUUUUUUCUUCUCAGCCCCUUUCAUUUCUACAAAGAGCAGUCAAGACUAUAUGCAACAAAACA